ACCGUGAUCGUGCAGCGGUAUAAGACAUCAGACUGUAAAUCUGACGCAGCUAUUGCUACACAAGUUCGAAUCUUGCUCACGGCA
Transfer RNA from Alloscardovia omnicolens F0580, 84 nucleotides. It matches the Rfam family "tRNA". Rfam says of the family: Transfer RNA (tRNA) molecules are approximately 80 nucleotides in length. Their secondary structure includes four short double-helical elements and three loops (D, anti-codon, and T loops). The record is from Rfam. Lineage: Bacteria; Bacillati; Actinomycetota; Actinomycetes; Bifidobacteriales; Bifidobacteriaceae.